This 69-nucleotide transfer RNA is filed under the name Aquilonastra batheri. RNAcentral describes it as "tRNA-Gly". The record is from RNAcentral. Lineage: Eukaryota; Metazoa; Echinodermata; Asteroidea; Valvatida; Asterinidae.
GCUUCAUGAGUAUAUCAGUACGUUCGGCUUCCAAUCGGAAAGUUUUUGUGAUCAAUCAAAAAUGAAGUA